Propithecus coquereli (Coquerel's sifaka) is the source of this 553-nucleotide RNA transcript. It is a transcript of the gene named phosphatidylinositol transfer protein beta isoform pseudogene, with no coding region annotated. Lineage: Eukaryota; Metazoa; Chordata; Mammalia; Primates; Indriidae. The record is from RefSeq and is a predicted model, not a curated record. The transcript has a single exon.
CAGCUGUGAGGGGGUCCCGGGAAAAUGGUGCUGAUUAAGGAAUUCCAUGUGGUUUUGCCAUGUUCUGUUCAGGAGUAUCAGGUUGGGCAGCUUUACUUUGUUGCAGAAGCUAGUAAGAAUGAGACUGGCGGUGCAGAAGGAAUUGAAGUCUUAAAGAAUGAACCUUAUGAGAAGGAUGGAGAAAAGGGACAGUAUACGCACAAAAUUUAUCAUAUAAAGAGCAAAGCUCCUGCAUUCGUGAGGAUGAUUGCUCCUGAGGGCUCCUUGGUGUUUCAUGAGAAAGCCUGGAAUGCAUACCCCUACUGUAGAACAAUUGCAACGAAUGAAUAUAUGAAAGAUGAUUUCUUCAUUAAAAUUGAAACAUGGCACAAAACCAGACUUGGGAACACUAGAAAAUGUACACGGUUUAGAUCCAAACACAUGGAAAACUGUUGAAACUGUCCACAUAGAUAUUGCAGAUCAAAGUCAAGUUGAACCAGCAGACUACAAAGCUGAUGAAGACCCAGCAUUAUUCCAGUCAGUCAAGACCAAGAGAGGCCCUUUGGGACCCAAC